Molecule: ribosomal RNA, 433 nt
Filed under: uncultured bacterium
Lineage: Bacteria
Description: partial 16S ribosomal RNA
Rfam family: Bacterial small subunit ribosomal RNA
Source: RNAcentral
AACGAACGCUGGCGGCAUGCCUAACACAUGCAAGUCGAACGAUACCUUCGGGUCUAGUGGCGCACGGGUGCGUAACGCGUGGGAACCUGCCCUUAGGUUCGGAAUAACUCCCCGAAAGGGGUGCUAAUACCGGAUCAUGUCUUCGGACCAAAGAUUUAUCGCCUUUGGAUGGGCCCGCGUUGGAUUAGCUCGUUGGUAGGGUAAAAGCCUACCAAGGCGACGAUCCAUAGCUGGUCUGAGAGGAUGAUCAGCCACACUGGGACUGAGACACGGCCCAGACUCCUACGGGAGGCAGCAGUGGGGAAUAUUGGACAAUGGGCGAAAGCCUGAUCCAGCAAUGCCGCGUGAGUGAUGAAGGCCUUAGGGUUGUAAAGCUCUUUUACCCGGGAUGAUAAUGACAGUACCGGGAGAAUAAGCUCCGGCUAACUCCGUG